Molecule: non-coding RNA, 29 nt
Filed under: Homo sapiens (human)
Lineage: Eukaryota; Metazoa; Chordata; Mammalia; Primates; Hominidae
Source: RNAcentral
UCCACACGUGGAUUCCGUGGUCUGGCUGC